AGUGAGUAGAACUUGUCUUGCCAUUGUCAAUUCUCUUUGUUCUUCCAGGAUUUGUCAUUUGCCUUUUUGAUGUUGGAGUUGAAUCUUCUCUCUUGUUUGGUUGUCCUUCAGCUUCCAUUAUCUUAUUGGAAGAUGUAAGUUUUUUUUGUUGAAAUGGAUCAGUGGGACAAAUUAAUCAAUCAGAUGACAUGAGUGAAAGCAAAAGCAGCUCUAAGAAGGAAACUGUUUUGGAGCUGAAAGUGUACAUGCAUUGCAAAGCCUGUGAAAGAUCAGUACACAACACUCUCAGAAAACUUGAAGGU
This is a long non-coding RNA of Musa acuminata AAA Group (dessert banana), 302 nucleotides long. RefSeq lists it as uncharacterized. NCBI's taxonomy places the organism in Eukaryota, Viridiplantae, Streptophyta, Magnoliopsida, Zingiberales, Musaceae. The record is from RefSeq and is a predicted model, not a curated record. The transcript is spliced from 3 exons.